GGCCUCGUAGUUUAAUGGAUAGAACGAAGGUUUCCGGUACCUUUGGUAGGGGUUCGAUUCCCUUCGAGGCCG
This 72-nucleotide transfer RNA is filed under the name Emticicia sp. CRIBPO. RNAcentral describes it as "tRNA-Arg". It matches the Rfam family "tRNA". From Rfam's summary of the family: Transfer RNA (tRNA) molecules are approximately 80 nucleotides in length. Their secondary structure includes four short double-helical elements and three loops (D, anti-codon, and T loops). Further hydrogen bonds mediate the characteristic L-shaped molecular structure. tRNAs have two regions of fundamental functional importance: the anti-codon, which is responsible for specific mRNA codon recognition, and the 3' end, to which the tRNAs corresponding amino acid is attached (by aminoacyl-tRNA synthetases). tRNAs cope with the degeneracy of the genetic code in two manners: having more than one tRNA (with a specific anti-codon) for a particular amino acid; and 'wobble' base-pairing, i.e. permitting non-standard base-pairing at the 3rd anti-codon position. Lineage: Bacteria; Pseudomonadati; Bacteroidota; Cytophagia; Cytophagales; Leadbetterellaceae. The record is from RNAcentral.